GACGAACGCUGGCGGCGUGCUUAACACAUGCAAGUCGAACGGAAAGGCCCUGCUUUUGUGGGGUGCUCGAGUGGCGAACGGGUGAGUAACACGUGAGUAGCCUGCCCUUGACUUUGGGAUAACUUCAGGAAACUGGGGCUAAUACCGGAUAGGAGCUCCUGCUGCAUGGUGGGGGUUGGAAAGUUUCGGCGGUUGGGGAUGGACUCGCGGCUUAUCAGCUUGUUGGUGGGGUGGUGGCUUACCAAGGCUUUGACGGGUAGCCGGCCUGAGAGGGUGACCGGCCACAUUGGGACUGAGAUACGGCCCAGACUCCUACGGGAGGCAGCAGUGGGGAAUAUUGCACAAUGGGCGGAAGCCUGAUGCAGCAACGCCGCGUGCGGGAUGACGGCCUUCGGGUUGUAAACCGCUUUCGCCUGUGACGAAGCGUGAGUGACGGUAAUGGGUAAAGAAGCACCGGCUAACUACGUG
Molecule: ribosomal RNA, 468 nt
Filed under: uncultured bacterium
Lineage: Bacteria
Description: partial 16S ribosomal RNA
Rfam family: Bacterial small subunit ribosomal RNA
Source: RNAcentral